CGAAUGAAUAACUCUAACAUUAAUUUAGAGUGGUUAUAUCUUUUAUUAGCGAGCAAAAAUGGAUCCAAUUUAGACACCCAUAAAAUACAAUGCCCCGGGCAUGAUCUACCUCAAUAAGCCACAAGAGUCGUAAUUUUCUUUUCGUUUGGUGCGUUCCCAAUAAUUUUUCACAGGCUUUCUUGAUAUUUCAAGAAUACUUCUGGAACUAGCCUAGCAUGAAAUUGCUGCCGAUCCAAAGACGUUGUUAGUUCCCUGUCUAUUUGCUCCUGAAAAAUAUCAACCGAUACCGAAUGGGAGUUGCAUGCAGACGUGUUCGCAGUCGAUUCUCUCGUGGUGUGUGUGUGUCUGUGUGUGUGUGUGUAUGUGUGAAUGCGUGUGUAUUGCAGCUAACACUUGGUGUUUGGUUCAAAUGUUCGUUUUCACGAAAAUCUGUUUCUCUCGGACGAGCGCGCGAAAUCCUAAUUAAACGGCAGCUCGUAUGUUGUGUGCUACGAUGAAUCCCUUCCGUACGUACAAGCUUAAUCCCGAUGAAACGCCGAUAAUAUCGAUCGGAUUGGCGCCCCAUGCUAUAGGCUGUCGAGUUAAUUAAAUUAAAAUACUGGUAUAAUGGCUCGCCAGAUGGCUCAACCAGAAAUACAACCUGGUGGUGAGAAGGGGUUCGAGCACCAGAAAGGGGCACGGGGGAUUCAAUCUCUGAUGUAGCUGAACGCAGCGGGCGCCGGCUAUGAGCAUGUUAUACGUAACUCGUUUAGCGUCGCAGGUUUGAAAAAAAAUCGACGUGAAUGUGUGGAAAUCUUGCUGUUCGUUUUCUUUCUCAUUUUAUUUUUUGGCAAAUGUAUUUAAGGACCCUCCGGUAAAAAUUGAAUCCAUCUACUGAAGCUUUUACGUGUAUGAAUGUCGUUGAAAUAUAUGAGGAUAUAUCAUGCUGGUGUCGACCGAAUAUAUUUAGUAUGAAAAGAAAGUGGAGAGCAAUUUAAAUCCAUUGGCUAGUGCUAUAAUAACAAAAAUCUAUUCCGAUCAGAAAUUUUUCUAUGAUUUGGUUUCGAUCACAUCGUGCGUAAGAAGGACGCUAAUAUUCGGAGCCAUUUGUUUACGAUCAUAAACAUCUUCCGUGGUGAUCGCACUGCAUCAUUUUUUCGAUGUACUUUAAUUUAUUUGCUCUCAUGCAUGAUCGAUAGAGUCGCGGAAUUCAUAAUAUUGAGGUGUUGCAGUUUCGAUUUGUAAUUACCUAUCUGCGCGUUAGAAUGAUCAUUGCGCUAUGGUUAUUUACUUUCAUUGGAUGGAUCGGAGGGGAAGAAAAGCUCUGAAACCGCAGUUUAACAUCCCGUAAGCCUAAGGCUGGUCGUUAGCGACGUUGUUGCAGCAUAUGCGCUGGGCAGCCUCCAUAUGGGGCAUCAUGGACCGAAAUCCACAGCCCCUGGCCUACAGGCCGGAGGAGGGAGGGGCACGAAAACUGGAACUGGGUACCACAGUGGAACGAGUGAUCCAUGCUAUUUGUGAGGGGAACUCUAAAAUUCAUGUCAUUGCUCAACGUAGCCGAGAUUUUUAUCUCAAAAAUGUCCGGUUAACUUUUCGUUAAAGCUCUAUCAACAUUUUUUUUGUCUAUACGAAACUAUAGAUCUCUCAUUAAAACCAAUAUUUCGAUGAGAAUCAGCAGAGAAUGGUAAAUAAAGUCAUUCCUUUUUUGGCCAUGAAACGAAUUCCAAAGUUUUCCAAAGUCCGAAUAAUCUGUAUCACAUAAAAAUACUAGGUUCUUUACAUUGACGCGUCUCAAAAGGAGUUAAAGCACCAAGUAAUAUAAGCAAUUCUGCCUUAAGCAGCGUAUGAGAACGAGAGACUUUGAACCCCGCAUUAAAUGGAGUAUAACUACUUUCGAAUAGCAUUCAUGCAACUGAGCUUUGCGGUCAAUGGCGUCUUUAAAUGCGACCAUAUGAUACGGAGGGUCGAAAAAAAAUGUGAUUGAUGUUACAUACUCAUAUGCGUAUUGUCACUGCGUACACAGAGUUGCGGGUAUGGCCCGUGCGCGUGUCUGUGUACGUACAUAUGCACGGAUGAACGAUCAACUACGGGGACCGUCACCAGAAUCUGUAUCACGAAUCGCUCUAUCAGCAAGUGCACGUAUAUAGGGUGCACCAUACGCACUAUGCUGAAUGGGAAGAGAGAACGAGAGAGAGAGAGAGAGAGAGAAAAAUGGAAAGAGAAAGACAUGGAUAGACGUCAUGGAGAGUGCAUGGGCAGUGAGCAGGUUGACUAGCUUUGUCCAUGCUCGAUGAUGACGAUGGGGUCGGGCCUUGGCACAGAUGGGCCGCUAAUCUCAUUGAAAACUUAUGAGGACUCUCGGGGGGUCGUGCUAGUUCAGCUAUAGGCUGUAGUAAGCAAUAGAGAAAGAGCCCCGAGAGCUCCGCUGCUAAGAUUUUGGCAGCGUGAGCGCGCAGUGUACAUGUCUUUCCAUAGGGGCUAAGUACCGUGCCAACCACCAUAUGUCCUACGUAUAUGCAUACAUGCGAGGCCUGCAUGUUAUAUCGAACUGAAAACGAGGCUAUAAAUUCAUCAGCGUUUUCCCCAUCCAUUCUUUCUCCUUUCGUAUUUUUCGCUUACGUUUCUGCUAAGCUUGUGACGGGUGCGUGGGUACUGACUAUUUUUGACAUCAGGGUGAUGGAUUGGAAGACUCUGAAACAAUCUCUUCCCUAUAAUCACACAACCCAUGAAUUUGAACUUUGAAUAUUAUCUUCUGAGCAUACUGUAAACAAAAGGAUUAAAAAGACUUGAACCAUAGUAAGUUGGGUCACGCUGUAUGUACAUGGCACGCGCCGUCCGCCACGUCCAUUUGUGUUUCCCGGAAUCUCUAUAAUUACGGUUAUAAUAACAGGAGUCUCUAGCUGUAUAUUCAUAUUUAAGUCCGUUAUGUGGCAGCGAAGCUCUCGUGCCACCAUUAAGAUCACCGUAGCAUAACUUCGUCGCGGGGUGUACCAACGAGAACGAGAGAACACGCGGCGAGCUUUCCCAUGCAUAUUCCCUCCCGUUUAACGAAUACGGGGGCCACCGCGCCAAGUGCCGAGAAGAUGCAGGGACUUGGCAGUCGGUGAGAUAGAGAAGGACAAGUUUAAGCAGCGCAAGAGAAAAGGAUUCGGAGAAGGAGACGGAGUCGAAGGGAGGAGCCACACAGAAGCAUACAACGCGGGGGCACAUGUGUACGACCGGGCAUACGGGGUUGCUUUACGAGCGGACAACUAAGGUAUGUUCUUGGUAUACGUUCGCCUCUGUUUCACCUCUCUCCAUAGCGCACUUACCUACGAGAUAAAGAGGAAUGAAGAAAACACCGGAAUAGUAUUAUACAAACAUUGCUCGAAAUUCUGCGCUCGCUUCUGCAUCUCGUCCCACGCCGACCCAGAGGGUCUCGAUCUUCUUCUUCUUGUUCGUAAUUUGCCUCUCUCGUGGGCAGAGUUCUUCGUUACGCGAGCGUUUCUCUGCAACGGCCGACGGAUUUUACGUCCGAGGAUCUCUCAGCUGCAUCCACCGUGACCGAGGCGCUCACUGGGCUCUUCGUUCCGACUCUCUACCCUCCUCUUGCCUCUCCGAAAUUCCACUUCAGCUAUCACUAUAUACUCGAGGAACGAGGCAAGACCCCUUCUGCUCUCUCGACGAAUACUCUGGUCGGUCAAAAGAUUUUGCAGCUUCGUUCCAGUGGCUCUUUCCUACGCGUGCGUGUGCGAGGUGCUACGAAUGGGUAGGAGGCAUUCUGUACAGCAUCCGCCAAUCAUCAGAGGCGCAGUGAAACCCGAUAACACGUGCCAUAUGUUUGUGCACGAACUCAAAUAUGUUCCGUGGCCGUGAUGCGAUCGAUGAUGACUCCUUGCAUCAAACAACGGACUUGGAGGUUUUCGAGCAUCUAUGUACUGCUUAAUCUAUACAUAGACCCACCGCUCCUGAGAACAUUGGACACGAGGUUAUUAACAUAUGUGAACUCUGACAUUGAACGCUUGAAAUAUUGAGCAGGAUCUGUGACUCUGUAAUCUCACGAACUUGAAUUUCGAUGCACGAUUUGGGUUGCCGCAUAUACAAACUUAUUGUUAGCGUACUUAUAAACGUAGGUGGAAUUGUACUUGCACUGAAAUUUACCAUAACCAGAUGGACUGCACACAGAACAUGUCCCAGAGCUUUGGGUCGCUGAGGAAAUCACAGGUGUUGGAAAGCUUCGAAUAAAGUUGAAUCUGUCGAAAGCUCAACACCGGAAAGCAGACAAAUUACUAAGAGAGAAGGAACGAGACAGCCUGCAGGGAGACGGACUUGAUCCAGCCACAUCGAUGUCUCUAAGGAAUAUUGGAAGAGAGAAUCAAAGUCACAUCUGCGAGAAACGCCGGGAGGACGUCUCGAUGCUCCAGGCUCGAGAUUCGCGUUAAGAUUGAUGACGCGACACUCUUACUCUUGGUUUUCGAUCUUUUCUCAUCCUUACCCGCAUACGAAACAGAUGAACGAAGGAAGAUCCGUUUUAUUCUGAAACGGCUCUAGAGAAAUGGCACAAGUGUUUACAAACAGAAGGAGAAGGAAGAUCUGAUAGUCUACGUAUCAGGGCUGGACAGAGUAAGAACCGGGAUAUCCCCAGUUGUAGUUUCAUACAAAAGCAAGUACAUGGUGUUUUCCCAUGACAAGUAUUUCGUGAUAAUUCUACUCACCAGCGUCUCUGCUUUCUGAUAAAUUUUAACCUCACUUUGGGUAUUACGGAUCAGUCGUUUAUCCAACAAUAAGCAAGUUCGAUAAGAACGAUCAUUUGUACUAAUAUUGUAGAAGAAAACGAACGAAUCCUUUCCAACUUUUUUGCUGUUUUUUCUUCGCAUAAUCGACAGGAUGUCGAGGCUACUGUCGAGAAUAUGCGGAACAAUCGGGUUCGCGGAUACUGCAGAAUUGCAAGCGAAUAUACAAAAAGAAUAAGAUUACAAAGAUGCUGAUAUAACAGAAGAAGGACGCGGAGAUCGAACGAGCGGAGCAAGAUCCUGUGGCAUCGUUCAUCAUUUUACGGAGAACGUUUCCCGGUCCAGAAUCUCCUCUCACGGGUAGAAAAGCUCCCUUUCUGUUACUCCGGAGGGUAUCGCACAAGAAAGACGAUAUGCGAUAGUGAAUAGAAGAGAAAGAAAAAGAGCCGAGUAGUGCUUGCGCGCGGGGUAACACGGUAGACUUUCCUCCCGAGAAACAGAGAACGAUCUGCAUAGCAAGAGACGGCAUCUCGCGACGAGCGAGCUAAGUGCGGGAUUAUGCAAAGCAGCGGCCAUACAGUAUAAAAAUACGGAGCGACUCCGCGCCAUCUUUUCCGGACCAUUCUAAUAACUUGCCACAAGCCGGCGAAUUCCUCGCUCGUGGCUACGACGCCAUAUCCUCAUGCUGCUUCACUUCCCCUCCUCCCUUUCCCGUUUCCUGAAUUCUGUGUAUAUAUUCGUCGAACGAGUCAGGAGCCCUCUUCGCUAUAUUCUACCGCACGAUACGUACACACGAGGCAUCCCACGCUCGUACGAAAAAAUCGAAAAAAAAAAACUUCCAAAACCGCAUCAAUUUUUUU
Molecule: long non-coding RNA, 5551 nt
Organism: Venturia canescens
Lineage: Eukaryota; Metazoa; Arthropoda; Insecta; Hymenoptera; Ichneumonidae
Exons: 2
Source: RefSeq, a predicted model, not a curated record